RNAcentral lists this long non-coding RNA (743 nucleotides) under Salvia miltiorrhiza (redroot sage). RNAcentral's name for it is "long non-coding RNA (SMIL_LNC008660)". Lineage: Eukaryota; Viridiplantae; Streptophyta; Magnoliopsida; Lamiales; Lamiaceae. The record is from RNAcentral.
GUGGUGAAUAUUGAUGGAGCGGGAGAUUGGUUUUACAUAUCAUGCAAAAAGUGUUCGAAAAAAAUUGAGAAGUUAGAACACCGAUUCUAUUGUAAGAAUUGCAGCAACUUUAGCGAGUCUGGGGAGAUGAAGUAUAAGAUUAUAAUAAAUGUUGCGGAUGAGUCUAGCAGUUCACCAUUUGUGUUAUGGGAUAGGGAGUGUAAAAAUGUGAUAGGAAAACCAGCUGCUGAAGUUAAAGUUCAGACGACGACAGAGGUACUAUUUUUUUUUAGUAAAAAUUAUAAUUAUGUAAUACCUUCAUAAACACAGGUUUCCUGCCAACUUAUAUCUUCUAUUCUAUAGUUUUUUAAGGUAGUCUGAGGUUCCAAAUGAGAUUCGAGACGCUUUACUACAAAAGAAAUACAUGUUCAAGAUUAAGGUCCCUCUUGGUGAAGGGUGGAGAUAUAAUAAAGCCUAUAGUGUCUCAACUCUAGCAACAGACCCUAAUGUUGUUGCUACAUACUCUGCUAAGUGCUCGGACAGCCAUCAAUCUAAUUCAGUUUCCAUGCUUGAGAGUUCAAAUGAGGUUAUGGAUACAAUUGGAGAACAAACACCUGUUGCUGCUCAGUCAAGGCUUGGAGAUGAGAGUGAAUGGAUUGAUGACGGAGUAACUAAAAGAAGUCUAAUGGAUGAAUUUUCUUCCACUAAACCAGCAAAGAAAGCUAAAAUUGAAAUCAAGCAAGAGAAAGACUAGAUGUUGCAGC